CAAGGCACCAAUUCCAAACAAAGAGGGAGAUAUAUUCAAAUUGAUAUAUUUUUUGCGCUAAACUUAAAAUUCUCAACACUAAUAGAUGCGUUCUCCAAAUUUUUAGUAAUUAAACAUAUCGACGAUAAAACUAAAUUACAGGAUAAAAGCGAAUGAAAAUACAAAUUAAAUAUUGCGACCCUAAACAUUCAACAACUAUUGGACAAAUAGAAAGAGUACACUCUACAAUAAUAGAAAUAUCAAGAUGCAUCAGGGAUGAAUUUGAAAUAGUGAACGAUUUAGAAGUGAUAAUUAGGGCUGUCCAAUCCUAUAAUCAAACAAUACACUCAGUAACAGGUUCAACAUGUUACACCUCAUCGUAAUUUACAUUACAAUCACUGCUAUUAGAGAGAGAUUAAAGAGGAUUGUUUAACUUUUUCGGAACAGGAUUGAAGUAUAUUUAUGGAGUAAUGGACGAUGAAGAUCGUCAAGAAAUAGAAGGAAAAUUAGCAGUAAACACACAUAAUGCAAUAGAGCAAAUCAACCUCCAGAAGAAUAUUAAUGAGAAAUUAAUUACGAAAUUCAAACCAUUACUGCAAACCUAAACCAACAUUAUUAAGAAUUAUUUCAGAAUAUU
This is a long non-coding RNA of Bactrocera oleae (olive fruit fly), 616 nucleotides long. RefSeq lists it as uncharacterized. NCBI's taxonomy places the organism in Eukaryota, Metazoa, Arthropoda, Insecta, Diptera, Tephritidae. The record is from RefSeq and is a predicted model, not a curated record.